AUUGAACGCUGGCGGCAUGCCUUACACAUGCAAGUCGAACGGUAACGGGCCUUCGGGUGCCGACGAGUGGCGAACGGGUGCGUAAUACAUCGGAACGUGCCCGAUCGUGGGGGUUAACGAGGCGAAAGCUUUGCUAAUACCGCAUACGAUCUACGGAUGAAAGCAGGGGACCGCAAGGCCUUGCGCGGACGGAGCGGCCGAUGGCAGAUUAGGUAGUUGGUGGGAUAAAAGCUUACCAAGCCGACGAUCUGUAGCUGGUCUGAGAGGAUGAUCAGCCACACUGGGACUGAGACACGGCCCAGACUCCUACGGGAGGCAGCAGUGGGGAAUUUUGGACAAUGGGCGCAAGCCUGAUCCAGCCAUGCCGCGUGCAGGAUGAAGGCCUUCGGGUUGUAAACUGCUUUUGUACGGAACGAAAAGCCUUCUUUUAAUACAGGAGGGUCAUGACGGUACCGUAAGAAUAAGCACCGGCUAACUACGUG
This 482-nucleotide ribosomal RNA is filed under the name uncultured bacterium. RNAcentral describes it as "partial 16S ribosomal RNA". It matches the Rfam family "Bacterial small subunit ribosomal RNA", at positions 30 to 507 of the family's 1533-position model. The record is from RNAcentral.